Molecule: RNA transcript, 1716 nt
Organism: Xenia sp. Carnegie-2017
Lineage: Eukaryota; Metazoa; Cnidaria; Anthozoa; Malacalcyonacea; Xeniidae
Exons: 8
Source: RefSeq, a predicted model, not a curated record
AAAACCCAUCCUCUGUUUUCCAAGGACUCAACUGCUUUACAAAUCAUGCUUUACUAUGAUGAGUUGGAAAUUGCAAAUGCCCUUGGUAGUAAAACUGGAAAGCAUAAGUUAGGAGUUGUUUACUACACAACUGGAAAUAUUGAUCCUCGAUAUCGAUCCCAGUGUGAUAACAUUCACCUACUCCUUAUGGCAACAGUUCCAAUUAUCAAAAAAUAUGGCAUUGACAUUCUCUUGGAGCCUUUCAUGAAUGACCUUGAAUACCUUGAACAAGAUGGUGGUCACCAGUUCAUUGUUAAAGGUGAACCUCUGUCAUUUUUUGGGACUAUUGUGUUGAUUUCUGGAGACAAUCUUGGAUCACAACUCAUGGGUGGAUUCAAAGAAGGUCCAGGUGCACAUUUGAAAUGCCGGCAAUGCAUGGGGACCACAGAACAAAUAAAGCAGAAGUUUUCAGAAAACAUUUUACACUUGGAACUCGUGCUGGUCAUGACCGCCAAUGUGAACUGAUUGAAGAAAACCCAGAACUGAGUAAAGCAUAUGGGCUUUGCAGGAGAUCAAUUCUUUGCAACUCUAGGUAUUUUCAUGUAGCAGAUGGCAUGCCAGGUGAUGCAAUGCAUGAUAUACUAGAAGGAGUACUUCAGUAUGUAUGUAAAGAAUUGCUGAAGCACUUCAUAUUUAAAGAAAAAUUUUUAACAUUGGAGCAACUUAAUGAAAGAAUGAACUCUUUUGAUUAUGGAAAUUUUAAUGAUAAAAACAAGCCAUCACCAAUCACCCGGACAACUUUGAGGAGUGAAAACAAUAGUUUAAAGCAAAAAGCAAGACAAAUGUGGUGCCUUGGAAAAUUCCUUCCUUUAGCUCUCGGCAGUGCCAUUCCUCAGGAUGAAGAAAAGUGGAUGCAUUUUCUUUUGCUCCUUAAAAUUGUUGACAUUGUUUUUUCACCAAUCACAAACACUGAUGAACUUGCUAUCCUGGAAGGAUACCUGAAGGAAUUUUGUGGAAAUUCACCCAGCUUUAUCCUGGGCUUUCAGUUAUACCCAAGAUGCAUUACUUGGUUCAUUACCCAGCUCAUAUUUACAGAUUUGGACCAAUGAUUUGGAGCUGGUGCAUGCGAUAUGAAGCAAAGCACAGUUACUUUAAAAGAUUGGCUUCAUACCUUGGAAACUUCACUAAUGUUGCACUUAGCCUUGCUGAACGACAUCAAACCAGAAGUUGCUAUCUAAGAAAUCAACCCAUUGCAAAAAAGCCUAAAAUUGAUUCUGCAAAAGAAAUUGUUGCUAAGGAUAGUGAACAUUAUUAUUUGCUCAAAGAGAAGGAACCUAACUUAAGUGACAUUAGUAUUUUGUCAAGAUCCAACCCAGAUCCUGUGGGUUUUGCACCCAUUAUGCGCUUAAUUUGCGUCUUAGUAAGCAUAAGCAUGUCAAGGCCGUCAAGUGCUUUUUUGGUAAGUCGUAUAGUCACUCCGGUUCCUUCUCUGACUGCCUUUGCCAAGUUAUUUUUCUGAGCCGUUGAAAGUGUAACGCCGUGAACUGUGUAGUUAUUACGUCCACCACCUUUAGCAGCUCCACCACCUUUCCUAACUACACCACUACCAGCAACUGCUUUUUGCGUGCUGCCGGUGAUAGCACCUGAUAUAGCUGCUAGGCCUAGAGACGGUAACACUUUUGGUAUGAGUUUAGUGACCGUAGGUAUGAGUUUUCCAAUAAGAUUUCCAAUAAGCUA